UACGGAGGAUCCAAGCGUUAUCCGGAUUCAUUGGGCUUAAAGGGUGCGUAGGCGGCACGAUAAGUCAGUGGUGAAAGCCUGCAGCUUAACUGCAGAACUGCCAUUGAUACUGUCGAUCUUGAGUACAUUUGAUGAGGGCGGAAUGUGUCAUGUAGCGGUGAAAUGCUUAGAUAUGACAUAGAACACCAAUUGCGUAGGCAGCUUAUUACACGAUCAUUGACGCUGAGGCACGAAAGCGUGGGGAGCAAACAGG
RNAcentral lists this ribosomal RNA (253 nucleotides) under uncultured bacterium. RNAcentral's name for it is "partial 16S ribosomal RNA". It matches the Rfam family "Bacterial small subunit ribosomal RNA", at positions 524 to 776 of the family's 1533-position model. The record is from RNAcentral.